Molecule: ribosomal RNA, 467 nt
Filed under: uncultured bacterium
Lineage: Bacteria
Description: bacterial SSU rRNA
Rfam family: Bacterial small subunit ribosomal RNA
Source: RNAcentral
GCCCAGACUCCUACGGGAGGCAGCAGUGAGGAAUAUUGGUCAAUGGGCGGGAGCCUGAACCAGCCAAGCCGCGUGAGGGAAGAAGGUACAGCGUAUCGUAAACCUCUUUUGUCAGGGAACAAAGGCGGGGACUAGUCCCCGGAUGAGGGUACCUGAAGAAAAAGCAUCGGCUAACUCCGUGCCAGCAGCCGCGGUAAUACGUAGGUGGCAAGCGUUAUCCGGAUUUACUGGGUGUAAAGGGCGUGUAGGCGGGGACGCAAGUCAGAUGUGAAAACCACGGGCUCAACCUGUGGCCUGCAUUUGAAACUGUGUUUCUUGAGUACUGGAGAGGCAGACGGAAUUCCUAGUGUAGCGGUGAAAUGCGUAGAUAUUAGGAGGAACACCAGUGGCGAAGGCGGCCUGCUGGACAUUAACUGACGCUGAGGCGCGAAAGCGUGGGGAGCAAACAGGAUUAGAUACCCCCGUAA